CACGCUCGCUCUUUUCGCCCUUGUUACCACCAUGUGUCAGGGGCUUGAGUGGGAACGUUGCCGGGCCCAGUGUUGGCUCAACAGCCGGGGCAGCGAAGGAUGAGACGCCUCUGCGGAAGGGCAGUAGCUGAAGUGGCGGGAGAUGUGACCCGAGUGGACCGUGCGCGUGUGAGCUUCCCCGGGAAGGUGUGCUUCUCAGGAUGUACUAGUAGUACUCUUCUCAGUAACGAAGAAUCCAUGUUACAGAGCAGACUGGCAUCAUUAGCAGGCUGUAAGGAGGCCAUAAAAGACUCUUGAAAGAUUCAGACAGAAGCCUGCAUGUGAUGGCAGUGAUGCCCUCUGGAUGAGAUGGUGAAGACUUGGCUUUGAGUGACAUUGUUUAUGGCUUUCAUUGGGUUUCAUGAAACUUAUUUGCAGUUGCUUAGCAGAAAUGUUUUAGGAUGGUGUUUGACCAUAUAUUGUUUACUGUAAACAUCCUGCCAAAAGGUUUAAUAAGUUGUAAUUAGCAUAAGAGGCUCUUGGGAUGAAAUGGUGUCUGCCUGGUAAUCAGUAGUGUUCUUACCCCUGGGCAUAGCCUUGCAUAUCAAAGGAAAGGUUAAAAAAAAAGUAAUAGCUUGCCCCAUUCUCUAGAAUUGACACUAGCAUGUGCAGAGGUAGGUUUCUUGUCCUGCUUCUCCCCAGAAUUAUAAUAAGCCAUCCUUUGGUUUUCUCCCUGUCAAAAACUCCCUACCCAUCUUGCAUUAAAUAGUGUCUUGGCAGGCCAUAUCAUUGCAAAGGCAGCCUCAAGUGAGGCAGAAUAAAACUUGGAGCUGAAAAAGGAAGAAUGACCUAUGGCGUUGUUUAAUUAUAAAGAGCUAUAACACAGCGCUCCUUUUCUAAGAACGUUGCUAAGCUGUCCUGAUCAACUAAAUGAACCAUUUGGAGUUCAGCGUUGGUGCUAAUUAAAUUUCUUACCUGGGUAUAGAGUAUAACCACUGAAGGCAUUGAUUGUAUUAAGCUCAUUUUAAUUAAAAUCGUCAGAAAACA
Long non-coding RNA from Phascolarctos cinereus (koala), 1026 nucleotides. RefSeq lists it as uncharacterized. The record is from RefSeq and is a predicted model, not a curated record. Lineage: Eukaryota; Metazoa; Chordata; Mammalia; Diprotodontia; Phascolarctidae.